This is a non-coding RNA of Camellia sinensis, 2088 nucleotides long. The record is from RefSeq and is a predicted model, not a curated record. NCBI's taxonomy places the organism in Eukaryota, Viridiplantae, Streptophyta, Magnoliopsida, Ericales, Theaceae.
AAGGAUUCCCUACUGCCGAAUGCAGCAUGGAGGUACCUGCAUGGAAAAGGGGGCUAAGAUUCCUGCAAAUAAAGAAGUAAAGCUUCGCUCCUGCAGUUCACUCUAUUGUGUUUCAUCUUUUGCUCUUGGAGCCACUUUGAACACUUUGGUUUUCCCCCAAUUGGGUCGGGUAAGUUAGUCUCUAAUGUUCUCUUGUUAUGGGAAAACCGAAGCGUGCUAAACUUGCCAACUUUCUGGAGUGUGAUGUCUUCGUUUAUGUUUCUUGUGCACAAACUGCUCUUUUGGAUAGCAAAAAGUUCUUAUCUCCUGUUAUUACCCCUUUUGAAGCCAUGAUAGCUUUCAGCAGGUAUUGCCAGAAAAUUCCCCUAUUUAUUAGUCUAAUUAUUAGUUAAUGGUUCUUAACUCCAUCUUAACAUAUUAUUUUUGUAGGUAAAACUAGAUUCUUGUUCAUCACCUCUAGAUAUUGUGCUCUACCUCUCAAACAUGUUCUCAAUCUUUCAGAAAAUACCCGAACACCAUUACACAGCUAUAGUGACUGUUGAUUAGGCAUCCAUGAAACAGUAAGCUUCAUGAGGAGCCAUUUUUGCAUCCUAUGUGUUAGCAGACACCAUACUAAAACUCCUAGAAAUGUGUCAGACAGGUGGCCAAAAGAAAAGAAGCAUGUAAGGGACACGUGUAUACUGGUGGAUAUAAACUCUAGUAUACUUAAAAAGUGAUGUUAUGAUCUUCAUUGCGCUUAUCUUUACAGUUUUGCAUGAGUUUAUAUAGUAACUUGUAUAAUUCAGUCCAAUUAAUGUAUUUGUUGCAAAUAGAAUGUACAUGUUUUUAAUUAUUGCAAUGUACUUGUCAUGUCUCUUUUCCCUUUUAUAUAGUCUGGUGAUAUCAUUUGAGGCUGAUUUUCUUAUGGAAUAGUUUUUUGUAAAUAGUUCAGCGGCUAUUCCAGCGUUGGCAGGCCUUUGCAUGGUUCUGCUCACUGCCUUGUCAAUCAAAUAUGAUUAGCAAGAUGACUGGAUUUAUUGGUGACUUCAACUUCAUCCCAUCUCAUACCUGAUGUCCUUUGGUCAGGGGUCUUGUUCCUCUUAUUGUGACGAGUUUAGUUGGCACACCAUUCCCAAGCACCAGUCCUUUUUGGCCCGGCCUCCUCUUACUUUGCCAUCUGAGCCUCCUUUCCUGGUCUUGCCUAUCCUUGUAAGCCUACCUCUAAUUGCAGUUUUUCUCCCUACCACACGUUUAAUCGUUAACCCAAGGUUUUGACAUGUUCCUUACAACAUCUGCUUCAAGGUCUCCUCUCUAAGGUUUUUACAUUUAUUGUUUUUGACACUGUAUGCUUAGAAUAAGAAUCUGGGUAAGAGUAAUUAUUAAGAGGUGCUAGGACUUUUGUUUAUGUCCAAUUGUAACUUAUUUUAUUUUGAUUUCAUUUUGUAGGAUAAACAAGAAGUAUUCAUAGAAAAGGUGGUUCGAAAAAGGCGAAAAUGCAUCACCACUGUGAAAGGCCUGGACCUUUUUGCUAAGAAAUAUGCUCGAAUUAAUUGUUGUGUUUUCUAAAUUGUAGAGGAAGUCAAUGGACAGGAGCUUAUGUGAUGGAAUUUCAUAAUUUGCUGAUUUCAUUUCCAAUGGAAUUAAGAGACCAGUUGGAAGAAGCAUGAUUUUCAUUCCUUCAAGGUGGAUACGUAGAAGAUUUUGAACUGGAAGGUAACUUUGUUUGCUCUUUCGGCAUCAUUGUUUGAAGUAGUAAUGAGUUUUUUUGGAAAUAAUUAAGAGAAGCAAUGGGAGAGUCACUCAUGAUCUAUUCAGACUUGGCAAGAGAGCGAGAAACAAUUAAAAGAUUGGUAAAACUUAUUAUUUAGUUUAUAAUGUUUUUGAAUAAAAGAGUAAAUUUCUUCUAAAUUGUACCAAAAUAUGACAUAGUUUGAAGUUAUCUCAUGCAAAAUAGUUUAAGUUGCCAUCAGAUGCAUCUGAAUUAGCUAAGCUAAAUAAGUAGCGGACUAGAAUGUCUCCUCCCUCUUGGAAUUAUUCUAUUUUUCAUUUUAUUUUUGAAUAUUGAUUCUCCUCUUUUAGAUUUCUUUUCUUUCCUUCUUAUUUUCAAGA